AACUUAAAGGAAUUGACGGGGACCCGCACAAGCAGCGGAGCGUGUGGUUUAAUUCGAAGCAACGCGCAGAACCUUACCAGGGUUUGACAUGGACCUGCACCACUCUGAGAGGAGUGUCCCUUCGGGGCGGGUUCACGGGUGCUGCAUGACUGUCGUCAGCUCGUGCCGUGAGGUGUUGGGUUAAGUCCCGCAACGAGCGCAACCCCUGUUGCCGGUUGAAGCUAUCCGGCGAGACUGCCGCGAGCAACGCGGAGGAAGGUGGGGAUGACGUCAAGUCAGCACGGCCCUUACAUCCUGGGCGACACACACGCUACAAUGGCUGGGACAGAGCGAAGCCAACCGGCGACGGGGAGCGGAUCGCAGCAAACCCAGCCUCAGUACAGAUUGCAGGCUGCAACUCGCCUGCAUGAAGGAGGAGUUGCUAGUAACCGUGGGUCAGCACACCACGGUGAAUACGUUCCCGGGUCUUGUACACACCGCCCGUUACACCACGAAAGUCGGCAACACUUGAAGCCGCCAGGCUAACCCGUCAGGGAGGCAGGCGUCGAGGGUGGGGUCGGUGAUUGGGGUGAAGUCGUAACAA
This 583-nucleotide ribosomal RNA is filed under the name uncultured bacterium. Its description in RNAcentral is "bacterial SSU rRNA". It matches the Rfam family "Bacterial small subunit ribosomal RNA", at positions 898 to 1494 of the family's 1533-position model. The record is from RNAcentral.